UGGGUUGGCCAAAAAGUUCGUUCGGAUUUUUCUGUGAAACGAAAUUUAGGCCAACCCA
RNAcentral lists this microRNA precursor (58 nucleotides) under Tursiops truncatus (common bottlenose dolphin). RNAcentral's name for it is "miRNA (ENSTTRG00000025124.1)". Lineage: Eukaryota; Metazoa; Chordata; Mammalia; Artiodactyla; Delphinidae. The record is from RNAcentral.